CCUACGGGAGACAGCAGUGAGGAAUAUUGGUCAAUGGGCGGAAGCCUGAACCAGCCAAGUCGCGUGAGGGAUUAAGGCCCUGCGGGUCGUAAACCUCUUUUGCCGGGGAGCAGUGGUCCGGACGCGUCCGGACCGGGAGAGUACCCGGAGAAAAAGCAUCGGCUAACUCCUGGCCAGCAGCCGCGGUAAUACGGGGGAUGCGAGCGUUAUCCGGAUUUAUUGGGUUAAAAGGGUGCCUAUGCGGGCAUUUAAGCAGGCGGGCAAAUGUCGGGGUUCAACCCCGGCCUGCCGUUGGAACUGGGUGCCUUGAGUGGGCGAGAAGUAUGCGGAAUGCGUGGUGUAGCGGUGAAAUGCAUAGAUAUCACGCAGAACCCCGAGUGCGAAGGCAGCAUACCGGCGCCCUACUGACGCUGAGGCACGAAAGUGCGGGUAUCGAACAGGAUUAGAUACCCUGGUAGUC
Molecule: ribosomal RNA, 460 nt
Filed under: uncultured bacterium
Lineage: Bacteria
Description: partial 16S ribosomal RNA
Rfam family: Bacterial small subunit ribosomal RNA
Source: RNAcentral